RNAcentral lists this ribosomal RNA (292 nucleotides) under uncultured bacterium. RNAcentral's name for it is "partial 16S ribosomal RNA". It matches the Rfam family "Bacterial small subunit ribosomal RNA", at positions 505 to 796 of the family's 1533-position model. The record is from RNAcentral.
GUGCCAGCAGCCGCGGUAAGACGUAGGGCGCGAGCGUUGUCCGGAUUUAUUGGGCGUAAAGAGCUCGUAGGCGGCUUGUCGCGUCGGCUGUGAAAUCCCGUGGCUUAACCGCGGGUCUGCAGCUGAUACGGGCAGGCUGGAGUUCGGUAGGGGAGACUGGAAUUCCUGGUGUAGCGGUGAAAUGCGCAGAUAUCAGGAGGAACACCGGUGGCGAAGGCGGGUCUCUGGGCCGAUACUGACGCUGAGGAGCGAAAGCGUGGGGAGCGAACAGGAUUAGAUACCCCUGUAGUCC